RNAcentral lists this ribosomal RNA (253 nucleotides) under uncultured bacterium. RNAcentral describes it as "partial 16S ribosomal RNA". It matches the Rfam family "Bacterial small subunit ribosomal RNA", at positions 524 to 776 of the family's 1533-position model. The record is from RNAcentral.
UACGUAGGGCGCAAGCGUUGUCCGGAAUUAUUGGGCGUAAAGAGCUCGUAGGCGGUCUGUCGCGUCCGUUGUGAAAACUCGAGGCUCAACCUCGGGCUUGCAGUGGAUACGGGCAGACUAGAGUGCGGUAGGGGAGACUGGAAUUCCUGGUGUAGCGGUUGAAUGCGCAGAUAUCAGGAGGAACACCGAUGGCGAAGGCAGGUCUCUGGGCCGCAACUGACGCUGAGGAGCGAAAGCAUGGGGAGCGAACAGG